GAGGAUGUAGCUCAAGUGGUAGAGUCUGUACUUAGCAUGCACGAGGUCCUGGGUUCAAUCCCCAGUAGCUCCU
This 73-nucleotide transfer RNA is filed under the name Camelus bactrianus (Bactrian camel). It matches the Rfam family "tRNA". From Rfam's summary of the family: Transfer RNA (tRNA) molecules are approximately 80 nucleotides in length. Their secondary structure includes four short double-helical elements and three loops (D, anti-codon, and T loops). Further hydrogen bonds mediate the characteristic L-shaped molecular structure. tRNAs have two regions of fundamental functional importance: the anti-codon, which is responsible for specific mRNA codon recognition, and the 3' end, to which the tRNAs corresponding amino acid is attached (by aminoacyl-tRNA synthetases). tRNAs cope with the degeneracy of the genetic code in two manners: having more than one tRNA (with a specific anti-codon) for a particular amino acid; and 'wobble' base-pairing, i.e. permitting non-standard base-pairing at the 3rd anti-codon position. Lineage: Eukaryota; Metazoa; Chordata; Mammalia; Artiodactyla; Camelidae. The record is from Rfam by way of RNAcentral. RNAcentral also lists the same sequence under 1 other name.